This 71-nucleotide transfer RNA is filed under the name Podarcis lilfordi (Lilford's wall lizard). RNAcentral describes it as "tRNA.Ala". The record is from RNAcentral. Lineage: Eukaryota; Metazoa; Chordata; Lepidosauria; Squamata; Lacertidae.
GGGCCAUAGCUCAGUGGCAGAACAUCUGCUCUGCAUGCACAAGGUUCCAUGUUCAAUCCCUGGCAUCUCCA